This 460-nucleotide ribosomal RNA is filed under the name uncultured bacterium. Its description in RNAcentral is "partial 16S ribosomal RNA". It matches the Rfam family "Bacterial small subunit ribosomal RNA", at positions 338 to 795 of the family's 1533-position model. The record is from RNAcentral.
CCUACGGGAGGCAGCAGUGAGGAAUAUUGGUCAAUGGCCGUAAGCCUGAACCAGCCAAGUCGCGUGAAGGAAGACGGAUCUAUGGUUUGUAAACUUCUUUUAUAGGGGAGUAAAGGUAUCCACGUGUGGAUAUUUGCAUGUCCCCUAUGAAUAAGCAUCGGCUAAGUCCGUGCCAGCAGCCGCGGUAAUACGGAGGGGCCGAGCGUUAAUCGGAAUUACUGGGCGUAAAGGGCUCGGAGGCGGGAUGUCAAGUCAAGAGUUAAAUCCCCGCGCUCAAAGUGGGAACUGCCGUUGAAACUGGCAAACUGGAGUGUGUGAGAGGAUAGUGGAAUUCCAGGUGUAGGAGUGAAAUGCGUAGAUAUCUGGAGGAACAUCAGUGGCGAAGGCGACUAUCUGGCACAUAACUGACGCUGAGGAGCGAAAGCGUGGGUAGCAAACAGGAUUAGAUACCCGAGUAGUC